GACGAACGCUGGCGGCGUGCUUAACACAUGCAAGUCGAACGGAAAGGCCCUGCUUUUGUGGGGUGCUCGAGUGGCGAAGGGGUGAGUAACACGUGAGUAACCUGCCCUUGACUUUGGGAUAACUUCAGGAAACUGGGGCUAAUACAGGAUAGGAGCUCCUGCAGCAUGGUGGGGGUUGGAAAGUUUCGGCGGUUGGGGAUGGACUCGCGGCUUAUCAGCUUGUUGGGGGGGUAGUGGCUUACCAAGGCUUUGACGGGUAGCCGGCCUGAGAGGGUGACCGGCCACAUUGGGACUGCGAUACGGACCAGACUGCUACGGGAGGCAGCAGUGGGGAAUAUUGCACAAUGGGCGGGAGCCUGAUGCAGCAGCGCCGCGUGCGUGAUGACGGCCUUCGGGUUGUGAACCGCUUUCGCCUGUGACGAAGCGUGAGUGACGGUAAUGGGUAAAGAAGCACCGGCUAACUACGUG
This 468-nucleotide ribosomal RNA is filed under the name uncultured bacterium. RNAcentral's name for it is "partial 16S ribosomal RNA". It matches the Rfam family "Bacterial small subunit ribosomal RNA", at positions 28 to 507 of the family's 1533-position model. The record is from RNAcentral.